CUCACAGAUCUCACACCCAGGCUCCCUGGGGCCCUAGAUGAGAAUUAGUCAAGACUGUUAAGACAGUCAAGCUUUUUGCUCCUGGCAAUCCCAGCAGAAGAAGGCGAAUUUUCUGCAUGAAGUUGAACUGGAGUCCCACACCGAACUUCCCUCAGCCAGGUCCUAAGACUUCUGAAGGCUUGCUGGGGAACAGCGUCUCCUCAAAGCAGGGAGGAUCACCCCAGGAUUCCCAGGCCAGGAGCCUCACAAAACCCCCCAGCACAAAAUAAAUCUUCCUUUAAAAGUUUGGGGCACAGGGUGGAAGCUAGAGAGACAGUUCAGCAGUUAAGAUACAGGCAACUCUUGCAGAGGAUACAAGUUCAGUUGCUGACACAUUAGGUGGCUCACAGCGUACCUCCAGCUCUGGUAGACUCAACCCGCUCCUGGCCUCUGCUGGCACUUCCCUUGUGCGUACAUACCUACACACAGAAACAAAACUAAAGCUAAAAUAAAUCUUUAAAAAUCCCCUAAACCAGCCAGGCAUAGCACUGUACACCUUUAAUCCCAGCACUUGGGAGGCAGAGGCAGGCAGAUCUCUAAGUUUGAGUCCAGCCUGGUCUACAGAGUAAGUUCCAGGACAGCCAGGGUUACACAGAGCAACUCUGUCUUGAAAAACCGAAACCAAACCAAACCAAAAAAAGAAAAAAGAAGAAAAGAAAAGAACCCCCCCCCCAAACCCGAGCAGCCCAUAGUCCCUGAGAACAUCAUAGCACAGACUGUCCUGCCUCACAGCAUCCUUGGGCACGGCCCAAUACUGGCCACCCCUGUCUGGGUGAGAAUGCGGGUACUGUCCCUGAAGUCAAGUCCGGUUAAGGCCUGAGUGUAUAAUUCCAGCUCUCAGGAGACAUGGGAAAAAGACUGCCUGAGCCAACCUUGGUAUCUUUGUAGGAUAAUUUGAAUUCUCCUUGAAAGUCUCAAAGCUCCUCCAAGGUACUGAGCUCCCACCAGCAAGAGAGCCCACACUGCUUAUUUGUAGUGGAGGCUCUGGAGUUGCACACUUGUGUGAGGUCUCCUCAUCCAGGGUAGCAGGAGACUCCUCAGAGGGUACAGUCACCACCCUUCCCAGAAAGUACCCUCUGUUUUCUCUCAUGAACCCUUUUCUAGGCACGCAGCCAGGAGACCGUCCUCCCCAGGAAACCAUGGCAACUACAGACCUCGGAGGAACACUGCCUCAUGUGUCAUCAUUGUAAAAAAUUAAUGCUUCAAAUCGACUGUUAGGGUGUUUACCCAGAGCAACUCGGACAUCCCAUCAGUCUUUGCAGAGCAACAAGAGCUCGCCGGAAUUGUUAACUUCGAUGGGUUCCCGUGGAUCCGAGUGGAGCGGGGAGGUCUGGACCUGGCUGCCUGCUUGCUGAGUCAGAGCAGGCCUGGUCACUGACACAGGCUACCCCCUGGGCCAUAACUGCCCCUUUCCUCUGGAGAAGAGGACAGAGAGACACCUGCACAGAGUCACAGAUCACAGGGCUAGAAGAGGGCCUGCAGGAUCUGAUAAUCACUUCCUCCCCUUUCCCUCCUCCCUGCUUCCUGCUUCCUGAGUCCUCCUUCCCCCUCUCAUCCUCUUUCUCCCCCUCUCAUUCCCCUUGUUUCCUCUACGUUUUCUUCCUCACCACCACCAUCUCCACCCCACCCCACCCCCUUAUCUUUCUUUUCCCACACACUGAGAAGCAGG
Molecule: long non-coding RNA, 1708 nt
Filed under: Mus musculus (house mouse)
Lineage: Eukaryota; Metazoa; Chordata; Mammalia; Rodentia; Muridae
Description: long non-coding RNA chr5:107078139-107079847
Source: RNAcentral